Molecule: ribosomal RNA, 151 nt
Filed under: Taningia sp. 35_WH383
Lineage: Eukaryota; Metazoa; Mollusca; Cephalopoda; Oegopsida; Octopoteuthidae
Description: partial small subunit ribosomal RNA
Source: RNAcentral
AUAAGAUCCAUUACCGGCCUCCCGUCGCCUCCGGGCUUCGGGAACAAGGUCGGCGCGCUCCGCUUUGGUGACUCUGGAUAACUCACUGGUCGAUCGCACGGGCUCCACGCCCGGCGACGGGUCCCCCGAGGGUCCGACCUAUAAACUGUCG